This 258-nucleotide ribosomal RNA is filed under the name uncultured bacterium. RNAcentral's name for it is "partial 16S ribosomal RNA". It matches the Rfam family "Bacterial small subunit ribosomal RNA", at positions 793 to 1055 of the family's 1533-position model. The record is from RNAcentral.
GUCCACGCCCUAACGAUGUCGACUGGUUGUUGGGUGGGUAACCACUUAGUAACGAAGCUAACGCGUGAAGUCGACCGCCUGGGGAGUACGGUCGCAAGAUUAAACUCAAAGGAAUUGACGGGGACCCGCACAAGCGGUGGAUGAUGUGGUUUAAUUCGAUGCAACGCGAAACCUUACCUACACUUGACAUGUCAGAGAUCCUUCAGAGAUGAGGGAGUGCCGCAAGGAAUCUGAACACAGGUGCUGCAUGGCUGUCGU